UCUAGUUCAGGCAACGAUUCAACUAGAUAUCAGCAAUUCAAAGUAAACGGUAGAGAGUUUGAGAGAAUUGCAACAAGAGAAGAGAGAUACAGAGUUGAUUCCCGAGCUGUAGAUCAGCAGGCGAAGAAGAAGAAGAGCAGGGACGAGUUGGAGACGAUCUGUAGCAGGAAAGGCCUGGAGAUCUUCCGCGUGGACGUUGAAGAAGAGUAGCAGAGGAGGAUCCUUGGGGUAGAACUGCAGCGUGGUGAAGAACUUGGUGAAGAUGAGCAGCGGAGGACCCUUGGGGAAGAACCGUGGUGGCCUUCGUGGAGGGUCAGCCACCCACGCGCCUUGCCCGGAGCAGAG
Molecule: long non-coding RNA, 345 nt
Filed under: Triticum aestivum (bread wheat)
Lineage: Eukaryota; Viridiplantae; Streptophyta; Magnoliopsida; Poales; Poaceae
Description: long non-coding RNA (TAES_LNC004816)
Source: RNAcentral